Globicephala melas (long-finned pilot whale) is the source of this 8177-nucleotide long non-coding RNA. RefSeq lists it as uncharacterized. The record is from RefSeq and is a predicted model, not a curated record. NCBI's taxonomy places the organism in Eukaryota, Metazoa, Chordata, Mammalia, Artiodactyla, Delphinidae.
CCUGUGCUAUGCGGCUGCUUCCCACUAGCUAUCUACCUUAUGUUUGGUAGUAUAUAUAUGUCCAUGCGCCUGUCUCACUUUGUCACAGCUCACCCUUCCCUCUCCCCAUAUCCUCAAGUCCGUUCUCCAGUAGGUCUGUGUCUUUAUUCCUGUCUUACCCCUAGGUUCUUCAUGACUUUUUUUUUUUCUUAAAUUCCAUAUAUAUGUGUUAGCAUAUGGUAUUUGUCUUUCUCUUUCUGACUUACUUCACUCUGUAUGACAGACUCUAGGUCUAUCCACCUCAUUACAAAUAGCUCAAUUUCGUUUCUUUUUAUGGCUGAGUAAUAUUCCAUUCUUUAAGACUGUUUCACAAGCAGUCAGAUCCAUAGAUCUCUACUCAUCACAGUUGGGGUGACUUCCCAGACCCCCAGAAGAGCAGGUAUAAUAGCAGGAAUUUUGGAGGGAGCACAUGAGGAUAAGUAAGGGUUGUUAUACUGUACUGAGAGCAAGAGAGCUAAGGAAAUACACACAUAACAAAUUUCAGUCCUCGUCCCCUCAUCCCCCGACUUGUCUCCUAGAACCCUGACAGUCAGGCUCUGUCUUUUGGACUGCGAGAAAAUAAAUUUCUGUUGUUUAAGCUACCAGGUCUGUGACAUUUUGUUACAGCAGUGCUAGAAAACUAAUAAAUGAAUACCUGAAAUUGAACAAUCAAAAAGUCACAUUACAAGAAUGUCCCAUAGAGCAAAGAAGAUAAAUAAAUUCUAAAAGAGAGGGAUAAUUGAGGAGUGUGGAGGUGGGAACUAUUAUUUUUCACAGCAAACUUUAUAUAACUGACUUAUUAACAUGAAUAAUUUUGACAGCAAUUAAAAUUGAACCUUAAAAAUACAGAUUUUUCUUCACUGGUUAAACAAAUGUAACAUAUAAAGCAAUUCAUUUUCUGACUUUACUCUUGGAAAUCUAGGAGACUUUGAAUUGGUGAGCCCCUAGAAAAUUAAAUUCCAUUCUGGAUAUCAUAUCACAUUGUAAUGGAUGAAGAAAUCAUAAAAAAGCUAGUCUGAACUCUCUAAACAUACAUAUAGAUUAACUAAAGACCUACCCAAAUAUAAGCUGUUAUUAUUAUUGUUAUUAUCAUUAUAUUUUUAUGUUCAAGUUGAAGGAGAAAAAGUUCACUGAUCGUGUGGAAUGUUUUCUUUUUGUCCCUGCAGAUGCACAUUUCAUGCUCUCCCCCUGCUCUCUGCCCUGACAAACUGAACUUUAUAGAUUGUAUCUAUGAGCUUUCCUGCCUUCUGUAUCAGGUUGGAUUUUGAAAAUGGGCAAACAAAGCAGGAAGUCAGAGGGAAGGAGGAGACUGAGAUCAGGGGAUUUGAUCUGGCUUUGCUCCUGCUAGGAUACCUUGGAUUGGUUGUGCCUCUCAAUGGAAGAUGACUCCUCCUCCCAAGGCUAUUGAUUCUGUAGGACGUUUUCCUCCCAGAUUCUAGAACUAGUCUUUCUCCACCCUUUGACCUCCAAGCUCACUACUAACUCCAGGUUACUGCACUAUCCUUGGUUCCCCAACUCUCACUCUUUGUAAAUAACCCCUAUAUAAACAAUCCUUGAAGUAUAUCCUAUUUUGAGUGUGCUAAUGGAAUUUCUGUUGAGCAUCCAAUCAUAUAAAAUAUGGUGAAAUAUAUUAGAAAUUAAACAACCACUUCCUUGCCUUCUGAUUAUAUGGCUUAUUUUCACAUGGGUAGUAAUUUCAAAGCUAUUUUGAAGUUUAACGUGACUAUUUAGGUAACAAACAGUAUUUACUAGUAUAUCAAGAUUUGUUAGCUAUACAAAUGGGCAAAGAAAUUGCAAUAAUUUACUGCACAUAAGAGGUGAGGUAAAACAGGGAAUGAUUGGGCUCUUUAAUGUAGCUACCGUGAAGUAUCAUUGCAUGAAAAGAGGAGGCAUACAAUUAUCACGCAUCAUGUCCAAUGUAUUAUUUAUUUAUACCAAUUGUUUAAAAUUGGAGGGAAUGGUUUUGUCUUCAGUGUAGCUGUAUCACUUGGGUAGAACACAGACAGAAAGGUGUAGACUAAGGUGGCUUUCUAAGUAAUAAACUGCCUGAUUUAAGUCCUUAUUUCUUUCUCAUAUGUAUCAGGGUGGAGCUUUAAUUCUUAAUUGAGGAAGAGUGUGACAAAUAUUCAUUUCCACUUCACUGGUAAACUAAUAUAGAAGAAUUAGGAGGAGUGAGAUUGAAAGAGGCAACAUCAGGCCUUAGAAGCAAUUUCUGCUUACAUUUGACCUAGUGUACUAACUUGUGUGUUUCUUCUAAAUCCUAAUGGACCCUGCCUUUUCUUCAAGCAAAUUUUGUUCCCUGGAGAACAACUUUGCUAGCAUUCAUUUAGGCGAAAUGUUAUUUACUUCAAUUCACUUAGAGAUUAUUGAAAUAUGCUCAACAAAGAAAGACCACUUCUAAAAACGUCUUUAAAAUGUUUCAAAUCAGGUACACAAGAGAUUUGGGGUAGGGCUUUAUAUCGUUAACUUGUUUUUUUGCAUUCUUUCUUGCUUACUUUUCCUUAUUUUUGUCUUAAUAUAGCUCAUUUUCAGAUUAUAAAACUGUAAAAUUAUUUGAAAACUAUAAGAAGGAAAUAAUAUUGUAUGGUCAGGCCACGCAAGAAGGCUAUUCUCUUGCUCUCUGUACAUCCCCUGCCUGACAAGUGCCUGCUUCACCUACACCCUAAGCACAUGACUGACCUUCCUCUGUACUUACCCCAGGCCCAGCUAGUGAUCGUUCUUAUCAAAGGAGCAGUGAGGGGCGGGCCCCUCUGCUGGUUUCCCUGGUAACCAAUGAGCCCACCUGAUGUCAAUUCCCCUAUAACGGGUAAUUCCACACCCCCACCCCCACCCCGGCCCCACAGCAAAGACUGCUAUCAUGUCCUGCUAGUCAACUGUUGCAUACGGUGGGGUGUCGCUCCAGGACCUUGCUUCAGACGUGUAAGCUCCCCCGUCCAUUAAACCAUUGAUAUCUCUAUUGCUGACACUGGGCUCUUUCAUCAGUCUUGAAGCUGGGCAAUCACAGGGCUUGUAGGCCUCUGGGGUGCAGCCCAACAAAUAUACACCAAAUUUUAUCAUAUUAUGGUUAAUACCCAAUGUUUAUAAAUGAGACCAUGCUUACACGUUUUAUGUUUAUUCUGAUUUUUUACAUAAUGUUAUAUAAUGAUAAUUAUGCCAUUAUGUACUUAAAAAAACAAGAUAAAAAUGUAUUUGUUUCUAAUAAUGGCAGAUAUGAAACUUAUUUGUGAAUUAUAGGCACAUAUAGGGAUUACUAAUCAGGACUUGAUUACAUCUUUCAACAUAAAGUACAUAAUUUGGAAGGACAGGUAAUGGAUUGAGGAUGGGAGAGCGAUGGUGCUAGUGUGUUAUAUCUAAGGAGAUUAAGACCAAUCCAAUAGUAUAUGGUCAAUAGCUCAUUGAAUUAGACAUUAAACAUCCUGUGUUGUAGGCUAGGUGCUACCAGUAACUAACUAUAAUGUGGGUAAAUCAAUCAAUAGAAAAAUAAGAUUUUAAAUGGUUGCGUGCUCAUCCAUCCUGUAUAUAUACCAUAAUUUAUUUAAGUAAUUCCCUAUUAGAUGAUUUAGGUUGAUUUCAGUUUGUCAAUAUUGAAACAAAUAAGAACAUGAUGUAUAUAAAUGAGUCCCUAACAUGCAAUCUUGGUCACCUACUUCUGAGAGACAGUUUACUGCUGUUGAUACCAAGCAAAGUCUUGCUGCCUGAAGCCCAUAGAAGCCAGUACUAUGGCACUGGCUUUUGAGAAAAGAAAGAGCUUUAUUUCGAGGUUGAUAGGGCAAGCAAGGAGACAGGCGGAAGGGCUCAACUCUGUCUCCUCCAUCCAGGGUUGGGGUAAAAUUUAAGCGGUUAGGGGAAUUUCAAACUUGGCAGAAGAUGAUUGGCUAGUCUCUAAUCAGUCCAUAUAUGGUAAUCCAGCUACUUAGGUUGCUGGAAGCUAGAUUUUUCUUAUUGAAGGACUUUUUGCUUUGUAAAGAGGUCAGGUUGCAACGUUUCUAUUCUUUGAGUUUCAUAUAUUUUUUUUAAGGGUUUCUUUUUUUAAUUAAGUGUAACAGGCAAAAUUAUUUAAGUCAAUAAAUUUUUAAGGAAUUUCACAUGUUCUGAUUCUUUCCACUGCUCCGGGGUCAUCCUGGAGACGUGGGUUCCCAUCUCGCACAUGCGCAGGGCUGUCUCUGUAAAACAACUCCAGGUUUGAUUAAUCAACAACGCGUUUUAGGGAAACAAAACCAGUUUAAGCUGGUCAAUGUUUUACGUGUAGUUUCACUGCUGUUCUUCUGCCUCUUUUUUCAGUCCUUCGAUUUUGGUGCAAAUAUGGAAAGGCAGUGAUGCAUAGUGGACAAAAGGAGGUGGAUCUGAGAUUUGUUCUGCGGUCUCCUCGCUUGGCUGACUCCUGAGUAAACCCUCACUUCGCUGCAAACCUUGAUGUCUCGGUGUUUUCGCUCACUGUGCUCGAGCAGGAGGAACCUGGUUCGGUAACACCAAGGGGCGGAUUUGCCUCCUCCAGGUAAACUUAGAGCUGCCAUCUUGGUGUAGCCAGCAGUGCAUCGGUCUCACAACCUGAAGGUCUUGAGUUCUAGGGCUGAGUUUGACAUCCAGUGACCUGUUACACCCUAGGAUGAGAAGUCCAUCAUAGGGCAGGACAGAGACGGAAAAAGCUGGAGUGUUGGUUCUCAGGAAGAAACAUUUUCCGAAUUUACAGUAUAAAAUCCACCCCCCCGCCAUGAUCAGCUAUUUCUUUCAUAAGCAGACCUGGAUAAAUUGAUCACAAUGGUGGCAUGCUGUGGAAUAAUUAUAAUUGGUCAUCUAGACUAAAAAAUAUAGCCAGAAUGAUAUUCUACACAGUGUAGCCAGGCUACAGAUGCUAAGUUUAAAGGAAUGUUGCAGUUGACUUUAGGGUUAUAAUUACAAUAGCCAAAUUCUAUGCAAUACAUAUAAAUGCUACAGGAAAACUCUAGAGCAUUCAAAAUAAUAUUAAAUGCUUCCACAGAAUAGUGCUACAUACAAUCAUAAAUAAACUAAGAGGCAAUAUUUUGACAAUUGGCAAAUUAUGUCACCGGCCCAUGUGUCAGCACAGUAGAACAGAGCCACUCUGCUGUGACCCGUGUCCAAAGCUGGCUCAUUCUGCCUGCAACAUAGUCUUUUAAUUCUUACACACAUCAUCUCACACAUGACAUUUUCUGGUUGGUACUAAGAGUGGCUUUUCUUACAUGCUGCCUAAUUUUUUUUCCCUUUCAUUUUUAAAAGAUUCUUUGAAUAAUAUUAUAUUUUGUAAGUAGUAUCUACAGGUUUGAUUCAAAUAGAAUGGAUCAGCAUUUAUCAGGAAAAACCUAAAUUGCACAAAGCAAAAUGUUGCUUGGUGAUACAAUUUUCUUAAUUUGAGAUACUAAAGCUAUGAUUGGAUAUAAUUAGUAUUUUUCAACAUUACUCCAUUUGAGAAUAAGAACAUAGUCUUGAUGAAAUAUCUCAGGCUUAAGUUUUAGUUUCUAUAGGGUAGCUUUUAAAAAUAAUAUAGUCAUGGUAUUGGUUUAAGCUUUGCAGUAUAUACAACCAUUACUUGAGUGUAAUCUAACAAAAAUAGUAUUGAAUUUAUAAGUCAGUAGAGUUCUUAUUUCGAUGGCCGAUUGACUACACAAUUUCAGAAAUCAUGUUCUGUUGCUGCUUCCCAAACUAAAUAAUAUUUCUGUACAAUUCUUCUGAAAAUUAAUAAGCAAAUGAAAAAGGAGGAGUUGGAGAAGGAACAAAGUAUGUAUGAUAUAAUCUAUAUAAAAGAUAUUAUUUUCAUUCCUUUUUACCACCAGUGAGGAACUAGGUACACAGAGAAGCUACAUAACUCCCCCAAAGUCACACAGGCAAUGGAACUGAGAUCUGAACCUUCAUGAUCUGAUUCUAGAAUCUAUGUUCUUAACUACUAUGAUACGUCACACCCUUCUGUAACUUUGGAAAAUACUAUCCUAACACCUUACCUUUAUGGUUCUGUGAAAUCUUUUGAACACACGAAUCUACCGAACCAGAGAUGGAAUAUUUGUUUUAAAUUACUUUGUUUUGCUUAUAGGGACGGACCUGCAAUGUCCAUUCACGUGCUUGUAAUCCUUUAUGGUGAAAACAUACACUAGCGAGAUAAUCUACGGUGUGCUACAAUCUUGACCACUCAGGUGCUUGGUCAACUGAAAUAAACACAGGAAACACUUGAUUUCAGAAUGAAGUAGGAUAUCUUCAAUUCUGAGCCCUAACAAUUUUCUGGAAUUAGUACAGGGACUCUAAGGUUAAAAUAAUUGCUUCAGUUAUGUGAAUGGUCUAUGAUAAGGGUUGACUGAUAUAUGGUACGUAUUGGAAGAUACAUAAUAAAACAUUUUUCACCCUAUUUACUGGCACCUACAAAUGCCAAGGGCUGUGCUCUGCCCUGGGUGGUGUAACGUGGAUACUCCUCGUCCACAGGGAGUUUACAGUUUAAUAGGGCGAGGCAAGCAUUUAACAGAUCAACAGACGUGCAGCAUCUGUCUAAAAGGGGAAGUACAGAUUGCUAAGGGAGUAACCCCAACUUGGGAGAGCUAAUUCAGUCUAGGAUGUUCUGGGAGUCAAGGGCACUGGGAUCUGAAGAAAACAAUUAUCAGCUGAAUAGAUUUGUGAGUGUGGUAGAGGUAGAAAAAGGAGAGUGUUCCGAACAUGUGGUAUAAUACUUCCAAGGACUGCAAAACAGAAUACGGAAGGAAGAUUCUUCAAAGUGCACACUACCACAUGUAAGGUAGAUAGCUAGUGGGAAGCAGCCGCAUAGCACAGGGAGAUCAGCUCGGUCCUUUGUGACCACCUAGAGGGAUGGGAUAGGGAGAGUGGGAGGGAGGGAGAUGCAAGAGGGAAGAGAUAUGGGAACAUAUGUAUAUGUAUAACUGAUUCACUUUGUUAUAAAGCAGAAACUAACACACCAUUGUAAAGCAAUUAUACUCUAAUAAAGAUGUAAACAAAAAAAAGUGUGAGGAUUCUUGAAAGAUAAUCCAGGAGUAGAUGGUUAAGUGCUUGAAAUCUAACUAUGCUCAGUCAGAAACCUUGGUGCCUCGUACAGUACACCCUUCUGCAAAGGACGGAGAAGGUUUAGAAGCAGGCCUGAAGGCAGCCAUGGCUGUAAGAUGAUGGAAGUCCUCUUGCCUGCUUUUACUCUGUCUUGGGCUCCUAAUUGCCCAGAAGUCCCUUGUUUCUACUGUUUGGCAGCACCCUUUUUCACAAGAGGGGAAACCAGUCUGAGCUGUGACUGCACUUACAGCACAAGUGAUUGAGUAAUGGGCUACUCCUUUCCGCUGUCGCAUCCUGCAGCCUCUCCCACUCCUGCGACCUUCCCUGUCUUCAUGUCUUUACCUGGCAUGAUGUAGCACAGCUGAUUGUUCAAGAGGAAACCAAACCGGUACCCUAGGGUCAGAAAAUUUACCUUUCAAAUACCGCUUUUGGCUUGUUCCAAGUACAGAAUCAAUCUACGUGUGCGUACACACACGUGUAAGAGCUAAAAGUCCUGUUGUAUAGUAUUCUAAAAAGAAGGAGAACAGAUCAUGUUUAUGAGGAAACUAAAUAGCCUCUCUUCAAGUAUUUAGGAUCCAUGGACAUAAAGAAAGCAAACUUGCAUCCAGAAAUUAGUCAUGCGUAUUGUUUUUUCUUGUUUUUGCUUUUCUGUGUUUCUCCUAUUUUUCGCCUGGGCACACUACAAACACUACCAUCCUGACCUUUACUGCAGCUAGAUGUGGCUACAAAACUCAGUUACAAUCAAAGUAAUGGGAAGGGAGUGGUAUGUGCCUACCUCUAGAACAGACCUUUAAAAUCUGUGAGCACUCUUACAUGUUCUAAACCCUCCUUCUUUUUUCGUUGUUGUUGCCGUUACCUAGAAUAGAGAGGCCAUGUGUUGAAGACUGAAGAGUUUCUAUUAGUCUGGGACUCGAAAUGAAUGCAAAAAUGCAAGAACCCCCAUCCCAACACUACAACUGCUACAAAUACACAUCUUUUCUCACUGACUUGGAACAUCAGUCUUCUACUAUUAGAUAAGAGAGAAAUACACUGUCUUUUGCUUAAGUCUGUAACAUGUUGUGUAUAUUUGUUACUGUAGCUUACCUUACCCUACCUGGCACAGAAUCUCUAAAUUCUCAUUCUGUGUUUAUGAAACAUACUAUAUUACAGGUAAACACAACUUU